Molecule: ribosomal RNA, 487 nt
Filed under: uncultured bacterium
Lineage: Bacteria
Description: bacterial SSU rRNA
Rfam family: Bacterial small subunit ribosomal RNA
Source: RNAcentral
GAUGAACGCUAGCGACAGGCUUAACACAUGCAAGUCGAGGGGCAGCGAGGGCGUAGCAAUACGCCUGUCGGCGACCGGCGCACUGGUGAGUAACACGUAUGCGACCUGCCCCCUACAGGGGUAUAACCCGUAGAAAUGCGGACUAAUCCCCCAUAGUCCCGCGGGCUGCAUGGCCUGCGGGGGAAAGGCCAGCCGGUAGGGGAUGGGCAUGCGGCGCAUUAGCUAGUUGGCGGGGCAACGGCCCACCAAGGCGACGAUGCGUAGGGGUUCUGAGAGGAAGGUCCCCCACACUGGUACUGAGACACGGACCAGACUCCUACGGGAGGCAGCAGUGAGGAAUAUUGGUCAAUGGGCGCAGGCCUGAACCAGCCAAGUCGCGUGAGGGAUGACGGUCCUACGGAUUGUAAACCUCUUUUGUCGGGGAGUAACGUGCGGGACGGGUCCCGUAUUGAGAGUACCCGAAGAAAAAGCAUCGGCUAACUCCGUG